GACGAACGCUGGCGGCGUGCUUAACACAUGCAAGUCGAACGGAAAGGCCCUGCUUUUGUGGGGUGCUCGAGUGGCGAACGGGUGAGUAACACGUGAGUAACCUGCCCUUGACUUUGGUAUAACUUCAGGAAACUGGGGCUAAUACCGGAUAGGAGCUCGUGCUGCGUGGGGGGGGUUGGAAAGUUUCGGCGGUUGGGGGUGGACUCGCGGCUUAUCAGCUUGUUGGUGGGGUAGUGGUUUACAAAGGUUUUGGCGGGUAGCGGGCCUGAGGGGGUGCCCGGCCAAAUGGGGACUGGAAUACGGCCCAAAUCCCAAGGGGAGGAAGAAGUGGGGAAUAUUGAACAAGGGGGGGAAGCCUGAUGCAGCACCGCCGCGGGCGGGAUACCGGCCUUCGGGUUGUAACCCGCUUUCGCCUGUAAGGAAGCGUGAGUGACGGUAAUGGGUAAAGAAGCACCGGCUAACUACGUG
Molecule: ribosomal RNA, 468 nt
Filed under: uncultured bacterium
Lineage: Bacteria
Description: partial 16S ribosomal RNA
Rfam family: Bacterial small subunit ribosomal RNA
Source: RNAcentral